Molecule: ribosomal RNA, 482 nt
Filed under: Streptococcus sanguinis
Lineage: Bacteria; Bacillati; Bacillota; Bacilli; Lactobacillales; Streptococcaceae
Description: bacterial SSU rRNA
Rfam family: Bacterial small subunit ribosomal RNA
Source: RNAcentral
GACGAACGCUGGCGGCGUGCCUAAUACAUGCAAGUAGAACGCUGAAGAGAGGAGCUUGCUCUUCUUGGAUGAGUUGCGAACGGGUGAGUAACGCGUAGGUAACCUGCCUGGUAGCGGGGGAUAACUAUUGGAAACGAUAGCUAAUACCGCAUAAAAUUGAUUAUUGCAUGAUAAUUAAUUGAAAGAUGCAAUUGCAUCACUACCAGAUGGACCUGCGUUGUAUUAGCUGGUUGGUGAGGUAACGGCUCACCAAGGCGACGAUACAUAGCCGACCUGAGAGGGUGAUCGGCCACACUGGGACUGAGACACGGCCCAGACUCCUACGGGAGGCAGCAGUAGGGAAUCUUCGGCAAUGGGGGGAACCCUGACCGAGCAACGCCGCGUGAGUGAAGAAGGUUUUCGGAUCGUAAAGCUCUGUUGUAAGAGAAGAACGGGUGUGAGAGUGGAAAGUUCACACUGUGACGUAUCUACCAGAAAGGACG